GAUGAACGCUGGCGGCGUGCCUAAUACAUGCAAGUCGAGCGAACAGACGAGGAGCUUGCUCCUUCGACGUUAGCGGCGGACGGGUGAGUAACACGUAGGUAACCUACCUAUAAGACUGGGAUAACUUCGGGAAACCGGAGCUAAUACCGGAUAAUAUUUCGAACCGCAUGGUUCGAUAGUGAAAGAUGGCUUUGCUAUCACUUAUAGAUGGACCUGCGCCGUAUUAGCUAGUUGGUAAGGUAACGGCUUACCAAGGCAACGAUACGUAGCCGACCUGAGAGGGUGAUCGGCCACACUGGAACUGAGACACGGUCCAGACUCCUACGGGAGGCAGCAGUAGGGAAUCUUCCGCAAUGGGCGAAAGCCUGACGGAGCAACGCCGCGUGAGUGAUGAAGGUCUUCGGAUCGUAAAACUCUGUUAUUAGGGAAGAACAAACGUGUAAGUAACUGUGCACGUCUUGACGGUACCUAAUCAGAAAGCCACGGCUGACUACGUG
RNAcentral lists this ribosomal RNA (497 nucleotides) under uncultured bacterium. Its description in RNAcentral is "partial 16S ribosomal RNA". It matches the Rfam family "Bacterial small subunit ribosomal RNA", at positions 28 to 507 of the family's 1533-position model. The record is from RNAcentral.